GAUGAACGCUGGCGGCGUGCCUAAUACAUGCAAGUCGAGCGAACAGAUGAGGAUCUUGCUCCUCUGACGUUAGCGGCGGACGGGUGAGUAACACGUGGAUAACCUACCUAUAAGACUGGGAUAACUUCGGGAAACCGGAGCUAAUACCGGAUAAUAUAUUGAACCGCAUGGUUCAAUAGUGAAAGACGGUUUUGCUGUCACUUAUAGAUGGAUCCGCGCCGCAUUAGCUAGGUGGUAAGGUAACGGCUUACCAAGGCAACGAUGCGUAGCCGACCUGAGAGGGUGAUCGGCCAAACUGGAACUGAGACACGGUCCAGACUCCUAAGGGAGGCAGCAGUAGGGAAUCUUCCGAAAUGGGCGAAAGCCUGACGGAGCAACGCCGCGUGAGUGAUGAAGGUCUUCGGAUCGUAAAACUCUGUUAUUAGGGAAGAACAAAUGUGUAAGUAACUAUGCACGUCUUGACGGUACCUAAUCAGAAAGCCACGGCUAAAUACGUG
RNAcentral lists this ribosomal RNA (497 nucleotides) under uncultured bacterium. RNAcentral's name for it is "partial 16S ribosomal RNA". It matches the Rfam family "Bacterial small subunit ribosomal RNA", at positions 28 to 507 of the family's 1533-position model. The record is from RNAcentral.